AUUGAACGCUGGCGGCAGGCCUAACCCAUGCAAGUCGAACGAGUGGCGGACGGGUGAGUGAUGUCUGGGAAACCGCCCGAUGGCGGGGGAUAACUACUGGAACCGGUAGCUAAUACCGCAUACCAUCGGAUGUGCCCAGAUGGGAUUAGCUAGUAGGUGGGGUAACGGCUCACCUAGGCGACGAUCCCUAGCUGGUCUGAGAGGAUGACCAGCCACACUGGAACUGAGACACGGUCCAGACUCCUACGGGAGGCAGCAGUGGGGAAUAGGGCACAAUGGGCGCAAGCCGGAGGCAGCCAUGCCGGGUGUAUGAAGAAGGCCGUCGGGUUGUAAAGUACUUUCAUCGGGGAGGCGGUACUCGCAGAAGAAGCUCCGGCUAACUCCGUUCCAGCAGCCGCGGUAAUUC
RNAcentral lists this ribosomal RNA (406 nucleotides) under uncultured bacterium. RNAcentral describes it as "partial 16S ribosomal RNA". It matches the Rfam family "Bacterial small subunit ribosomal RNA", at positions 29 to 526 of the family's 1533-position model. The record is from RNAcentral.